CCUACGGGUGGCAGCAGUGGGGAAUUUUUCGCAAUGCUCGUAAGAGUGACGCAGCGACGCCGCGUGAAUGACGAAGGCCUUCGGGUCGUAAAGUUCUUUCGACAGGGAAGAAAAUGCCUAUAAGUAACUGUGUAUGUAUUGACGGUACCUGUUUAAGCAGCCCCGGCUAACUCCGUGCCAGCCGCCGCGGUAAUACGGGGGGGGGGAGCGUUUGUCGGGAUGUAUGGGCGUAAAGAGCCAGGAGGCGGUGUUAUAAGUCAUUGUGUGAAUACUAGAGCUCAACCUUAGUAAGGCUAGUGAUACUAUAAAACUAGAGUAUCAGAGAGGAUUGCAGAAUUCCUGGUGGAGCGGUGAAAUGCGUAGAUAUCAGGAGGAAUAC
This 379-nucleotide ribosomal RNA is filed under the name uncultured bacterium. RNAcentral's name for it is "partial 16S ribosomal RNA". It matches the Rfam family "Bacterial small subunit ribosomal RNA", at positions 338 to 709 of the family's 1533-position model. The record is from RNAcentral.